This is a long non-coding RNA of Micropterus salmoides (largemouth bass), 636 nucleotides long. RefSeq lists it as uncharacterized. NCBI's taxonomy places the organism in Eukaryota, Metazoa, Chordata, Actinopteri, Centrarchiformes, Centrarchidae. The record is from RefSeq and is a predicted model, not a curated record. The transcript is spliced from 4 exons.
GGAUUAUAGAGAAUGCUGCUGAAGGGAUUUCAUCUUGUCCAUAAUCACCUGACUUGCGAAAGCAGCUCUUGUAUCGCUGAGAUUAAGUAUUGAGUGACACUACAGCUAUCCAAGGUGUUUUCUGAGUUCCAUCGUCAUCAUGAUUAAUGUUGAACCUAUGGAGCCAAUUCAACUGUGAGCUUGACACCACAGCUGAUUGUCCUGUCCAGGUGGAGGGCCUCACAGACGGGUAAGACAGCAGAGGCACUGCGGAGAUCCUAGGAUUUAUGACCUCCAGAAACAACAUGAUGUACACAUGAGAUGCAUUCUGGCCCUUCGUGCCCUCCCAGUGGACCUGCGAGAGGAUGACUGAUUUCUUCAAGACCCGCAAUGUAAGUCCUCAGUAUACUCACACACAAUGUCAAUAUCAUUGAAAUGUACUAUGGCAAACCAACUUCAAUGCCUCUUCCAGCAUUUAACAGACUGACAGACUUCACUCUGUCAAAAACUUGGUAGCCUAUUACAUUACAAAUCGCCAUGGAUAUUUUACAAGUAAGACCAGGUAAAGCAGCAGUCAACAAAAAAAACGGAAAAAAGACAAGUUCUGUGUCAUUUAGGCAACUUUAUCAAACAUACUGCUGAUGGAGAAAGUGGAGU